This is a non-coding RNA of 196 nucleotides. It matches the Rfam family "6S / SsrS RNA". From Rfam's summary of the family: E. coli 6S RNA was the first non coding RNA to be sequenced, but its function was unknown until recently. It consists of 184 nucleotides that fold into an extended hairpin structure with a large single-stranded internal bulge. The 6S RNA specifically associates with RNA polymerase holoenzyme containing the sigma70 specificity factor. The record is from Rfam.
UGGUAUCUGAAGUGUACGCGUUAUCUUAUAAAUGUAUGGUUGACCGAACACUUUUUACUUUUUGUUCACAAUGACUGGCAGCUAGUAUGCCUAACCAUUAUUAUCGUUAGGAAACUACAAACCAGGCUACGUGGGCCUUCCUGCUUUGAGAGCGGGUUCAACUACAAAGAUGAUUAACGGCACAAUCGGAGCCGCG